AUUGAACGCUGGCGGCAGGCUUAACACAUGCAAGUCGAGCGGGGGAAGGUAGCUUGCUACCGGACCUAGCGGCGGACGGGUGAGUAAUGCUUAGGAAUCUGCCUAUUAGUGGGGGACAACAUCUCGCAAGGGAUGCUAAUACCGCAUACGUCCUACGGGAGAAAGCAGGGGAUCUUCGGACCUUGCGCUAAUAGAUGAGCCUAAGUCGGAUUAGCUAGUUGGUGGGGUAAAGGACUACCAAGGGGACGAUCGGUAGCGGGGCUGAGAGGAUGAUCCGCCACACUGGGACUGAGACACGGCCCAGACUCCUACGGGAGGCAGCAGUGGGGAAUAUUGGACAAUGGGGGGAACCCUGAUCCAGCCAUGCCGCGUGUGUGAAGAAGGCCUUAUGGUUGUAAAGCACUUUAAGCGAGGAGGAGGCUACUUUAGUUAAUACCUAGAGAUAGUGGACGUUACUCGCAGAAUAAGCACCGGCUAACUCUGUGCCAGCCGCCGCCGUAA
RNAcentral lists this ribosomal RNA (501 nucleotides) under uncultured bacterium. Its description in RNAcentral is "partial 16S ribosomal RNA". It matches the Rfam family "Bacterial small subunit ribosomal RNA", at positions 30 to 523 of the family's 1533-position model. The record is from RNAcentral.